This is a long non-coding RNA of Nicotiana tabacum (common tobacco), 2287 nucleotides long. RefSeq lists it as uncharacterized. The record is from RefSeq and is a predicted model, not a curated record. Lineage: Eukaryota; Viridiplantae; Streptophyta; Magnoliopsida; Solanales; Solanaceae.
UGGUCUUUGCGGGACAUCUGUCUCCCACUAACAUUUUUCCUACUCCUUUGUCACUUGCGCUUCCAAUUUUACUCUUAAUUUUUCCUACUUAUCUUCUUCUUCCAUGCUCUCUUCUUUCUCUGAUUUUCCCCUAUUCUUCAUUUUGCUGUUUUCUUUUUUCGUUCUGGUCUUGGGAUUCAUGAAGUAAUUUCUUUUUACUUUAAUGAGAUUUUAGUGUUAAGAUUUGAAAUUGGGGUUUUAAGAAUACAAUUUGCCCAAACAACUAAAAGGCACACGGGAUUUUUUUGGUGUACAAGAGGAAACGGGUGAAGGUUGCAAAGAAGUUGCUUCAUACUGAUCUGUGGGCGGCUCAUAUUGAGAGUCUAUACGCAACUCCUCCUACCAACAGAACAUGACAGAAUUGUAUGGAAGGAAGACAAAAAUGACAACUGCUCUGUCAACUGCUGCUAUAGGCUUCUCACCUCACGAACCAUCUCCACAACCAACAAUGCAAACUUAAACGAAAAUGUAAGGCUCCUCUCGACAUCAUUUCAUUUUGUAUGGAUAACAUUGCACAAUGAUUGUUUGUUACGGGCGAACCUGCAGAGAAGAGGUUACCCCUUAUGCAAUAGAUGUCCAGUAACAUAGCAGACAUUAUCUUUUUUUGCACUGUCCAUUGCUAUCUCUGCUAUAUGCUGUAGCUUUUGAUCGAGAUCAAAUUUUAUAUCAGAUGAAUUUUCUUCAUAUUUUGCUAUUUCUGUAUCAAAGUGCUAUUUAUUGGUGAAGAUCUUUCUCCUAUAUAAGUAACAAACAACAAAAUCAUUUUUGUAUAUUUAGUCAUAUAGAUAAGACUUUUCAUAAAAUACCCAUCUUUGGCAGCUAUCUUUAUUCUUUAUCAUUUAAUUAAUAAGGUACUGCUCACCUGCAAUCUUCAUUUGCCUUUGAAGGAACAUGAAUAUGUGUGUUAUCAGAUAAACUUAAAAUAAUUGUGCUUUUACAUAUUACUGAUACAUAUUAGCUUUUAGCGUGCUCUAUUCUUUCAUUCCUUACUCUAGGACAAGGUAAUCCUAACAUGGCUAUGGUACUUGCUUACCAUACGGCAAAUAGUUAGAUUCGAUAUAAGUCGCAGCACAUGUUAGUCCAUUUCAUUCUUUCACUAUAUCAUAUUAUUAUAUUUUUUCCAUGCUAAUCUCUAAGAUCAUUCAAAGAUAAAUGGUGGUUGCAUAGUGUAGUCGGUUAUUUUAAUUGAAACAAUAUAUGCUCUUUACAAUUUAUGAUUGGACUGGUAUAGGGUUGUUUAAUGCAGUAUUCUGAAGUAAGCAUUAGUCAUGAGGAAAGUCCCAAAUAGCAAUGAAUGCUCCAUAAAAAGGUACAGACAACAGAAGGAUUUUUACACUAGAAGGAUUAGUCUAAAGAAAAUUUCCCCAUACAUUAGAUGAUUAAACUGAAAACCUCUUUAAGUAAAAGAGAGCAUAGAUAAUUGAUUUAAAGAAUGUAUCUUUCUAAAUUGCUAUGAGCCUUCUACAUGCUCACAUAACAAAUAUGUAGUUGCUUGGAUAACUCCAAGGAAGAGGUUGCCUUUCCAGUAAGUUAGGAAUUAGGGAGAAUUGGAGAAAGAUGGUAUAUGGUACUUGAUACCUUCAUGCUAACUAUACGAGAAUAGCAAUAAAUUUCUCCAGUUUUUGUUUAUGUUACAAGGGGAGGUCUAGAUCAGGACAGCUUCACUGGCGAGGAUUGAAUAGAUCAUUCCAAGGCAAGGACUGAAAGAAACUUUAGAUGUUACUUGUGACACAACAUACGUAUUCUCGCUCCCUUUCUUGGGUCUUCUAUUUAGUGCUUCACAUCUUUUAGUUGUUGCCCCCUAUCUUCUAACUCUUUCCAUCUUAAAGAAUUUGUAGUGGCAGGUAAUUUGAGAGUUCAAAAGAAACAUUAGUUGAGAUGGUCGAAGAUGGACUUGCUUCAAUCUCUCAGAAGCUAGCCGGGAAGGAAGAUGAGAAAGAAACAUAAGGCCAUCUGAAAUGUUGUCUGCAUACUCUGUCUACUCUGGACAACCUGGAAGGAACAACAACUAAUUGCUUCGACGAUGUUGCACCUAAAAUAUACACAUUAGAAUAGAAAUGCUGCAUCUGUUAGCUUUUAUAACUAACUUAUAAAUAUAUACAAUUCAGUAACACUUUUUUAGUCUUCACAUCAUUCAGGAACCAUAGGACCUUACUUUGUUUUACCACGUUUUGUAUCUCAAAAGAUGUAUCAGCACCUACUGGUAUUAAUAAAGCUUGAUUACUUAUAGAAAAAAUAUUUCGGAGUU